This is a long non-coding RNA of Meriones unguiculatus (Mongolian gerbil), 2449 nucleotides long. RefSeq lists it as uncharacterized. Lineage: Eukaryota; Metazoa; Chordata; Mammalia; Rodentia; Muridae. The transcript has 2 exons. The record is from RefSeq and is a predicted model, not a curated record.
GGUUCCGUGGCGGCGUCACGUGACGCGGCGGGCGGGGGCGUGCUCGGGAGCAACCCCGGUGGCCGCGCGGAGGGUGGGAGCGCGCCCCCUGCUGGCUGGAGCCGGCUCCGCCUUGACCCGCCCGCUCCAGAUCGGGGGAUUGCUCUUCUGAGCACGGGAUUAGAUUAGCCGGGAGCUGUCCUCCAGAAAGACUACUUGACUGGGCGAAGGCUCCCGGUAUAUAUUUGUGAGUGAAUGCACAGACGUGUUAGUUAUUACCAUCCUGCUAAAAAUGCCGGGCCUGCUCAAGAAGUGAUUUUUUUUUUUUCACAUUUAGUUAUUUUCAUGUAUAUGAGUGCUCUAUCUGCACAUACGCCUGCGUGCCAAAAGAGGGCGUCAGAUCUCGUUAUAGAUGGUUGUGAGCCACCCUGUGGUUGCUGGAAAUUGAACUCUAGGCCUCUGGAAGGGCAGCCAGUGCUCUUAACCACUGGGCUAUCUCUCCAGCCCCAAGAAGUGAUUUUUAAAGGUGGAUUCCUUAAAACAUAUUCUACAGCAUCCUAUACUCUUUUCUCCGGAUUGUGUCGCUUCAGAUGACAAGUCUAUGGUUGAGGGAAGAGAAUAUAAAUUAUAUAGGGAUCUCACAGGUUAGCUGUUAUCUAAUGCAUUUGAAAGUUGUUUGUUUUUUUUUUGUUUGUUUGUUGUGACAGAUUCCCUAUGCAUCCCUGACUGUACUGGAAGUGGAUCUGUAUACCAAAUUGACCUUGAAUUCAGAGAACUGCCUGCUUCUGCCUUCCCAGUGCUGGGAUUAAAGGUGUGGACCAAAUUGACCUUGAAUUCAGAGAACUGCCUGCUUCUGCCUUCCCAGUGCUGGGAUUAAAGGUGUGGGCCAACACUGUCAAGCUGCAGAGACCUUGAGAGCACUUGGCUGCUCUUCCAGAGGACCUGGGUUUGAUUUCCAGCACCUGCAGGGGGCUCACAAGUAGUCCCGGACUUCAGGGAAUCUGCACAAACAUCCAUUUACCCCAAACAGCGUACUGACAAGAGACCAAAGAAAACUCCACCCAAGUCUAGCUCAGUUAGCUAUACGUUUCUUGGAGUUACUUACAGAAAUAUGGUUGACUCAAAGGUUGUUUCAUCACUGAAAAGCCCACCCCACCAGGGGUGAGGACUCAUAAAUGAUGUACCCUCAGUGCUUCCUACACAAUUUGCAAUUAGGUGAGAGAGUUUCCCUCGGCAAUAGUUACUGCUGUUACUGAAUCUAUAUCCUUUAAGAAGGGUAAGAAGGGCCUGAUACAUCUUGGGGAUUCAUAAAUAUAAUGUUCAUUAUACUGGCAACCUGUCGUGUCAUGUGAUAUUUAAGCUUGUUUCUUGUCUGAUGCGUCUAAAACAAAAAGGGGAAACUGUAGAGAGCUGCGGAAUGCUAUGCCUUAAAGAUGGAGCUGGUUUCCGCCAGCUCCUUCCCGAUGGUGAGUGCUCUCUGUCACGAACAACUCCACAUUUGGCUAAGGCCGAAGGAUCUGGCUUGCUUCCAUGUACGUGGACCUAUCUGCAUUGCCCACGUGGCACGCCUGGGUUGGCUACCCAGAGGCUAUUUAAGCUGUGGGCUGGCUUUCCCCAGGGUCCGAGGAUUGUUCAAGGUUCCUGAAUAAACUGCAUUGAAAAAAAAAAAAAAAAAAGAAACAAACUCUGGGAUCCUGAAGGCCUUCCCUAUUUCUUCCAAAACUAGCCCCCUAGCUGGAACAAGGAGAAAGGAAAAUAGCAAAUUCCUAAGACCAUUGGGGGGGAAUGUGUCUUUGAGAACAUAUAGAAAGUGGUCUUGGAGGAAAUUGAGCACUGUUUCAGAAGCUCAAGCCAGGCGCAGUGACAUACUCUCUCUGCUGCCUGCUGAGCCAGAUGUACAACUCGCAGCUCCUUCUCCAGCACCUUGUCUGCCUGGACACUGCCAUGCUUCCCACCAUGAUGAUAAUGGACUAAACCUCUGAACCUGUAAGCCAGCCCUAAUCAAGUGUUUUUCUUUGUAAGAAUUGCCAUGGCCUUGGUGUUUCUUCACAGCAGUAAAAAUCCUAAGAUAGGUGGGGAUAGGAAGCUGAACUUCAGCCAUGGGCAGCGCAUCCUUGGAGAGAAAGUUCAACCAGAAACUGCCUGCCUCAAUUUCCUCAGUAAACUUCUACUGGUUAUUUGUAAGCACUGGACUUCAGGAUGUUAUCUAUUUGCUAUUUGUUCUUUUACCUGGAAGCUUUUACUGUAGACAUUCAGCUGUGCCUAGGACUGUCAGGUGGGAACUCCAGAUGAUGGCUACUGGAACUUUCCCAGUUGGUACCUGUUGAAUGUUUGUGAGCCCUGGAUCUGAUGGAGUUACCUUUUUCUUAGGCGGGCUGCUCCAGUUGCUGGAUGUUACCUACUGCUUUCCACUUACUCUUUUACAUCUGUUUGCUGUAUAUUUAAUAAACUUGCUCAUUCAAAAUAGAAA